UUGAAGUUAUUCGCCUCCGAGCAAGAGAAAUUGUUAGAGGAAGGAGGCACCCCAGUAAGACCAAGAACAGUUGAGGCAUAUGUUGAUACAAUACAAAAAUGUAGCCCAUGGCUUUUUAAAGACGAGUUAUUAAGUAUAUCAAUGGGACCAUCAUGGUAUCCUAUAGAAGGAUUUUUCUUCAACAAGAAAGAGAUGGCUAAUUCUGUUUACUACAUUUGUCUAAGAUCUUGGUUUUUACAGACAUCUGAUUAAUUUACAAAGCUAAAGUGUUAAAAUAUCAACCACUAAAUAUGAAAUCAAGUACUCUUUACUUAUUAAGUUCCAUAAGGUAAUAUAUUUAAACAUUAUGUGUGUUUUCAUAAAUUGGUAAAUGGAAAAAUGUUUAAUAUUGCUUUGUGUCUGUGUCUUUGCUAAAACAAGGUUACUAAGUGUUAAGAUUCUAUCAUGUGUAAUUUAUAUACAAAGAGUAGAAAAAUUUUCAGUUGGGUUUCAAUUAUAGUAUUAUAGUGUCAUAAGAAACAUGAAAGUCUUUCAUCUUAUUAAAGUGGAGUAAUCUGUCUAAAUCAGAAAUUUUAUAAGAGUUGUUUCAAAAUGUGAAUUUAUAAAAAGGGUUAACAGUUAAAAAAAAGAGAUAGAAAAAGAUUCAAGAUGUGGAAAUAUAUUUUAAUAUAAAAGGUUAAAGGAAAAAAUGUUUCUAGAUGAGAUAAUCUCUGUGUGGUAAAGUAAAAGGUUGUAAAAUGCCAUUUAAAAAGAUUUUGAGGAAACUAGACUUAAUUUAAAAGCUUGAGAAAGGAAGAAAGAAAAAAAAGGUAUUUGUACAUGGCAGAUUGAGACAAAGCUUCUCAAUGGAGUUAAAAAAAAAAAGCCUUUGGUUGAAGGGCAGCCAUGUAAACUAACAUUAAAGCGAUUUAAACAGAAUCUAAG
This 924-nucleotide long non-coding RNA is filed under the name Marmota monax (woodchuck). The record is from RNAcentral. Lineage: Eukaryota; Metazoa; Chordata; Mammalia; Rodentia; Sciuridae.